AUUGAACGCUGGCGGCAGGCCUAACACAUGCAAGUCGAACGAGUGGCGGACGGGUGAGUAAUGUCUGGGAAACUGCCUGAUGGAGGGGGAUAACUACUGGAAACGGUAGCUAAUACCGCAUACUAUCAGAUGUGCCCAGAUGGGAUUAGCUUGUUGGUGGGGUAACGGCUCACCAAGGCGACGAUCCCUAGCUGGUCUGAGAGGAUGACAAGCCACAGUGAAACAGAGGCACGGUCCAGAGGCCUACGGGAGUGAGCAGUGGGGAAUAUUGGACAAUGGGGGCAAGCCUGAUGCAGACAUGCCGGGUGUAGGAAGAAGGCCGUCGGGUGGUAAAGUACUUUCAGCGGGGAGGCGUUACCCGGAGAAGAAGCACCGGAUAACUCGGUACCAGGAGACGGGGUAAUAC
Molecule: ribosomal RNA, 406 nt
Filed under: uncultured bacterium
Lineage: Bacteria
Description: partial 16S ribosomal RNA
Rfam family: Bacterial small subunit ribosomal RNA
Source: RNAcentral